RNAcentral lists this unclassified non-coding RNA (865 nucleotides) under Zea mays. Its description in RNAcentral is "misc RNA Zm00001eb134420". Lineage: Eukaryota; Viridiplantae; Streptophyta; Magnoliopsida; Poales; Poaceae. The record is from RNAcentral.
CGCGCUCCCAAUUUCAAUCGUCUUCUUCUCUGCACCUGGCCGCCGCUCACUGCCGGUGGAGAUAUUUGUUUCCGGCCGCCGUCGUCAUCCAAACGCCGCUCAAGCCGCCGCUGUUCCUCGCCGUUAUCCGCUCAGCCGGCCGGAUACAAAUCCAGUAGCGCCCAGCCCCAGCCGUUCUUCCUCCUCUGCCGCGCCCUCUGGUUCGGAUUCCGAUGGCCAGCAGUUGAGGCUCCCAAGCCGCGUCCCUGGCGUCUUCCUCCCUGGCUCCUACUCUUCCAAGCGUGGAGCCCUCUGCUCGCCACGGUCCUUCCGUAGCUCCCAACCGAUUUCCCUGCGUGCUCCUCCCGUGCAGCUCGCCGUGCUCCAGCUCGGAUUCCCCCUCCAUGGCGCGCCCGAGCACUCCGGCUCCCUGCUCGAGCUCGCCCAGCUCCCUGCUGCGGUGACUAGCGCUCAGCGUCCGGCUCCCUGGAUGCUUGCCCUGCUCGCCGCCAUCCUGCUGGAUCCCCUCCACGGCGCCCGUUCUUCCCGGGUGUCUUCCUCCACCGCGCUCUCCUCUGCAAGCAACUGGGUUCUGCUCUGCCCUGGGCGUCGUUCUCAGUCACUGGUGGACCGCGCGCUCCUUUGUUUGCUGGUCGUGGCUCCCUCAUGCUCGCCGUCGAUUCGAUAUGCCGCCACGUCCUCGCCUCGUCUCGGUAGCGCGCCUGCCAGUGUCGUUCCUCGCUAUGUCGAGCUCCCUCCCCGUCCUGUCCAGUUCGCCGUGUGGGUGGAACCUACGUGCACGCUGUCAUCGACACCAUGGUCGUCUCCCUGUGCGUUGCGUCCCUCAUCUCCAGCCGACGCACUAAGGAAUGGGUGUGGAGUAUAG